UUGCUAUCUGCGAUAUGGAAGAUUCGAACCUGCCGCAGGUUCGGGUCUCACGUAGUGAGACAACGGAGCCGCUUGCGGCGACGGCCCGAAGGGUGAGCAAAGCGAGUCAUCCUGCACGACCCACCA
This 126-nucleotide small RNA is filed under the name Salmonella enterica subsp. enterica serovar Heidelberg. RNAcentral describes it as "RtT sRNA". It matches the Rfam family "RtT RNA". Rfam says of the family: This family represents a bacterial cis-regulatory element known as RtT RNA. The exact function of RtT is unknown although it is thought that it may be involved in changing the cellular response in relation to amino acid starvation. Lineage: Bacteria; Pseudomonadati; Pseudomonadota; Gammaproteobacteria; Enterobacterales; Enterobacteriaceae. The record is from RNAcentral.